Molecule: long non-coding RNA, 1859 nt
Organism: Danaus plexippus (monarch butterfly)
Lineage: Eukaryota; Metazoa; Arthropoda; Insecta; Lepidoptera; Nymphalidae
Exons: 2
Source: RefSeq, a predicted model, not a curated record
UUCAGCGAGUGCGGAGCAUAAAGAACCUUCGAGAAAUACAAGAACAUUUAGAAGAAUUGACGUUUCAUUUUAAAAUAUCUGGAACUUACUGAAACAAGUGACAUUAGAGACGCCAGCGAGGCUGGCGUCCUGUCUUUAAAAUAAUGAAUUUAUAAUAAAAUCCGAUAUCAGAAGUGGGAUCGCUCCUGUGAUCAGUUACUGCCGGUCUUAGUGUAUUUGUAAAUCCUGAUCCAGCUCAAGAAAAUAAUCAUCCGGAGAACUUGCGUAAUGAAGAACGCUCCUCAGUCUUUUAUGCAAAUGAUGUCAACAAUGCAGAGCGUGACCGAACGUUUGCUACUAAUAAAAAACAAGGGAUACGAUUAAAAUUACUAACAAGAUUUUUUGAUCCCGGUGAUAGUGUGUGUGUUCGGGAUUGAUUCAAACGCAUCUUUACGGCUGUAAAUACGUACCAAAUCAGUAACUACGACAUUCGAAUUAAAGUCUUUUAAAGGAGCGAGCUAGAAAGUGUGCAGACGAUUGGUUAGUUGCAACAUCUACACAAGAGGCAUUACGUGAGACCAUAGGUAACAUUUGUUAUUAUCCUUUGAGCUAACCUCGUGUCCAUGAUGUAUUCUGAAGAGAACCAUGAGAUUCUGUAGGGAAGGCUUGUGGUACCGUGACAAGACAAUUAUACACCACAGAUCUGGAGAGCGUGACCUCUGAGCUAAUCGCGUGUUACCCUUGAGCUAACCACGGGUCCUUGAUGUAUCCAUAAGAGAACCAUGAGAUUCCGUAGGGAUGCCUUGUGGAGCCGUGAGAAGACAAGUCUACACCACAGAUGUGGAGAGCGUACCUCUGAACUAAUCGCGUGUUACUCUUGAGCCAACCACAGGUCCUUGCUGUAUCCUUAAGAAUACCAUGAGAUGACGUAGGGAGGCCUUGGGAAGACUUGAGUAGAAAGGUACUCACUCGAUCUAUAAGAACUUGCAUGAUUUUAAUAUCAAACUACUGAGACCAUUGCUUUAUUUAAAUACGACAAUAGACAUACUCUUCACAGUAAUAUUUGCAACAUGUCUGGUUAACACACGGCAGUGCCUCUACAAAAACGAUGCUGUAAUUCAAACGAAAGCAUACUCGACUCCAAAAUCCUGAUAAAAUACAUCUAUUGUGAAUAUAACUAAUUUCUGUUCCUUUUCUGCUAACCGUGGUCAUGCGUUUGAAUCGUGUUUCCGACGGGAAUAAGGAGAUCACGCCCAAUUUUAAUUUAAUACCAACUGGUAAAUGUACUCUUAAAUAAAAUGCAAGAUCGCAGUGGUGCGUUAUACAAGAAUCAAUUGCAAAUGAUAUCUCUGGGUGUAGAAAACAAAUCGUAAACUAUUUGCGUGGAUUGAGAUCGGACCUUACUAUUUCAAUGAAAAGUUAAAUAGUUAUUAAUGUAGAAAUAAUUUUCUAUAGUUCCAGGUUUUGAAACGACUGCUGAUAUAUUAACCGGAGCAGAUUUAUUACGUGAUAAGAAUACAUGUGGAAAAUUUAGUAUCCUUGCCGAUGUUUUGCACAUACGAACAAGUCAAUUAUGCUUUGACAGUUUAGAUUACAAUUCAACAAUCAGUCCGUUUAAAUCGAAGUAAUGCAUCAACACAUUCAAAACAGGAUGGUCGAGGCGGAGAGAAGAUACAAAGCUAGGUUUUUGAGAGGUCGAGCUACGAUUAAAAGAUUCCAGAAGGGAGAUAUUACCGUGGAUGACUUUGAAAUGUGGCACAUGACCAGCUACGAAUGUGGCACAUGACCAGCUACGAUGAGACUUCACAGCAUCUGAGGGACGACACAGAAUUACUAAGCAAGCAGUAAGGUGGACUGUUCGCCUACCUAAUAGUUAUCCG